CUUGGGACCUUGCACUUGUGAGGCAAGCAAUGGAAUCACUGAGCUGAACCCCACGCUCCAGUUUUCUUUUUAUGCCAUUGGCAACAAUCCUCAGUUGUGUCGCUGCAGAGCGUGGAGAGAGGGGGAUCGCUGCGAGUUUGAGGCCAGCCAGGACUAGGUAGCAAGACUCUAUCUCGAUAAAAAGAAAAGAAAAACAACAACAACAACAACAAAAAAAAAAAACAGUUGUGCCACCAUGAAAGAAAACCAA
RNAcentral lists this long non-coding RNA (250 nucleotides) under Fukomys damarensis (Damara mole-rat). Its description in RNAcentral is "lncRNA (ENSFDAG00000033010.1)". Lineage: Eukaryota; Metazoa; Chordata; Mammalia; Rodentia; Bathyergidae. The record is from RNAcentral.